This 774-nucleotide ribosomal RNA is filed under the name Triticum aestivum (bread wheat). RNAcentral describes it as "partial small subunit ribosomal RNA". The record is from RNAcentral. Lineage: Eukaryota; Viridiplantae; Streptophyta; Magnoliopsida; Poales; Poaceae.
AUGCGAGGAGUAGUCUUUGAGGCGCGUCCUGUGCGCCUCCUCCAGAGCGAUCUUGGCCUGGAUGUAGGACGCGCCGACCGCGACGACCUCGCGUCGUUCCUGGCCGCCCAGGGUGCGCAGCGCCCGGUCGUCAACGAGCCCGUCGUGGAGCAGCCGGUGGAGCGAGGGGAAGACGUGGUCGUACCCGUGCUCGUAGUAAAAGACCAUGUCCGUCACGUAGUUGGAGAAGAGGGUACGCACGUCGGCGGCGCCAAUGAGCAGGUUCGCGAUGCCGCACCCGAACAGGGCGUCGUUGGUUGUCAUGGCCUCGGGCCAGUCAGCGGCGCCCAGUGCGGCAAGCACCUCCGGCGACGCUUGGUUCAGCCCCUUGCCCUUAGGGGGAAGCACGUUGCCCAUUGCAUGCUGCGUACUUUUCCACAGCGCGAGCUCUGGGGACAGCCGCAGCUGCACCACCCUGGGCCUGGGCCGCGCCGCUUUUGGCGCCUCCUUGCCGAUGCUUGCAAACAGCUCCGCCACCAUGUCUUCCGCCUGGCGAGAAAGCCUUCGAAAAUCUGCUACGGCUCCCUUGCCGAUCAAGGCCCUCGCCUCCGAGUAGCCGGUCUGCAGUGGGAAGCCUCCCACGGGAUCCUCGCCCCAGAAAUACGGAGACAUUCUAGGAGCAGGUGGCACACCGCCGCCGGGGAGAUGGCCCUUCACCUUAAUGUUGAGGCCAUGGAGAGAGCAGCCACCCCAUGUCGAAUCCUCGGCGUCCUGCGGGCGAGGAUCGGACAUUGA